GACGAACGCUGGCGGCGUGCCUAAUACAUGCAAGUCGAACGAACUCUGGUAUUGAUUGGUGCUUGCAUCAUGAUUUACAUUUGAGUGAGUGGCGAACUGGUGAGUAACACGUGGGAAACCUGCCCAGAAGCGGGGGAUAACACCUGGAAACAGAUGCUAAUACCGCAUAACAACUUGGACCGCAUGGUCCGAGUUUGAAAGAUGGCUUCGGCUAUCACUUUUGGAUGGUCCCGCGGCGUAUUAGCUAGAUGGUGGGGUAACGGCUCACCAUGGCAAUGAUACGUAGCCGACCUGAGAGGGUAAUCGGCCACAUUGGGACUGAGACACGGCCCAAACUCCUACGGGAGGCAGCAGUAGGGAAUCUUCCACAAUGGACGAAAGUCUGAUGGAGCAACGCCGCGUGAGUGAAGAAGGGUUUCGGCUCGUAAAACUCUGUUGUUAAAGAAGAACAUAUCUGAGAGUAACUGUUCAGGUAUUGACGGUAUUUAACCAGAAAGCCACGGCUAACUACGUGCCAGCAGCCGCGGUAAUACGUAGGUGGCAAGCGUUGUCCGGAUUUAUUGGGCGUAAAGCGAGCGCAGGCGGUUUUUUAAGUCUGAUGUGAAAGCCUUCGGCUCAACCGAAGAAGUGCAUCGGAAACUGGGAAACUUGAGUGCAGAAGAGGACAGUGGAACUCCAUGUGUAGCGGUGAAAUGCGUAGAUAUAUGGAAGAACACCAGUGGCGAAGGCGGCUGUCUGGUCUGUAACUGACGCUGAGGCUCGAAAGUAUGGGUAGCAAACAGGAUUAGAUACCCUGGUAGUCCAUACCGUAAACGAUGAAUGCUAAGUGUUGGAGGGUUUCCGCCCUUCAGUGCUGCAGCUAACGCAUUAAGCAUUCCGCCUGGGGAGUACGGCCGCAAGGCUGAAACUCAAAGGAAUUGACGGGGGCCCGCACAAGCGGUGGAGCAUGUGGUUUAAUUCGAAGCUACGCGAAGAACCUUACCAGGUCUUGACAUACUAUGCAAAUCUAAGAGAUUCGACGUUCCCUUCGGGGACAUGGAUACAGGUGGUGCAUGGUUGUCGUCAGCUCGUGUCGUGAGAUGUUGGGUUAAGUCCCGCAACGAGCGCAACCCUUAUUAUCAGUUGCCAGCAUUAAGUUGGGCACUCUGGUGAGACUGCCGGUGACAAACCGGAGGAAGGUGGGGAUGACGUCAAAUCAUCAUGCCCCUUAUGACCUGGGCUACACACGUGCUACAAUGGAUGGUACAACGAGUUGCGAACUCGCGAGAGUAAGCUAAUCUCUUAAAGCCAUUCUCAGUUCGGAUUGUAGGCUGCAACUCGCCUACAUGAAGUCGGAAUCGCUAGUAAUCGCGGAUCAGCAUGCCGCGGUGAAUACGUUCCCGGGCCUUGUACACACCGCCCGUCACACCAUGAGAGUUUGUAACACCCAAAGUCGGUGGGGUAACCUUUUAGGAACCAGCCGCCUAAGGUGGGACAGAUGAUUAGGGUG
RNAcentral lists this ribosomal RNA (1489 nucleotides) under Lactiplantibacillus pentosus. RNAcentral describes it as "bacterial SSU rRNA". It matches the Rfam family "Bacterial small subunit ribosomal RNA". Lineage: Bacteria; Bacillati; Bacillota; Bacilli; Lactobacillales; Lactobacillaceae. The record is from RNAcentral. RNAcentral also lists the same sequence under 1 other name.